Molecule: ribosomal RNA, 467 nt
Filed under: uncultured bacterium
Lineage: Bacteria
Description: bacterial SSU rRNA
Rfam family: Bacterial small subunit ribosomal RNA
Source: RNAcentral
CAGGAUGAACGCUGGCGGCGUGCCUAACACAUGCAAGUCGAGCGAUUCUCUUCGGAGAAGAGCGGCGGACGGGUGAGUAACGCGUGGGUAACCUGCCUCAUACACAUGGAUAACAUACCGAAAGGUAUGCUAAUACAGGAUAAUAUAAGAGAUUCACAUGGAUUUCUUAUCAAAGCUCCGGCGGUAUGAGAUGGACCCGCGUCUGAUUAGCUAGUUGGUAAGGUGACGGCUUACCAAGGCGACGAUCAGUAGCCGACCUGAGAGGGUGAUCGGCCACAUUGGAACUGAGACACGGUCCAAACUCCUACGGGAGGCAGCAGUGGGGAAUAUUGCACAAUGGGCGAAAGCCUGAUGCCAGCAACGCCGUGUGAGUGAUGAAGGCCUUCGGGUCGUAAAACUCUGUCCUCAAGGAAGAUAAUGACGGUACUUGAGGAGGAAGCCCCGGCUAACUACGUGCCAGCAGCCGC